Molecule: long non-coding RNA, 678 nt
Organism: Trichomycterus rosablanca
Lineage: Eukaryota; Metazoa; Chordata; Actinopteri; Siluriformes; Trichomycteridae
Exons: 3
Source: RefSeq, a predicted model, not a curated record
UUUCACAAACCAAAACGAAUCAAAUAAACAUUCAGGAGUACAAUAAUUUCUGUCAGAUUUACCUCAGUUACUGAAUAAAUUUAGGAAUUGGGCUCUGAGGUAAACCGGAGCGCGAGAUGGUGCCGAGCGUCAGCUCACGUGCUGAAUUGACAUUUCAAAUUUUAACGGAAAAUUAACGAUUCAUUCAGAGCUAAAACGGUAAAAGCGAAGUCUUCUGUGUAUUUAGUUUAUUAAUUUAUUAUAAAAUAGCUGUAAUCGACGUAAAAAGAGAACAUCUUGGCUGGGCGCUCAACAGGUACCAUUGCAGUGUCUGAGGGAUAGAAGGACACUAGACGUGGAAGAAUACACAAGGGUUUUUCCACCACAGUUGGUACUCACCUGCUGAUCUUUGAGUAAGGACACCACGCUGCUGCGACUCUCCGGACGAGUGACGACGGCGUGAGCCGGAACUUUAGCUAAAUUACACGCCUCGUAAUUCUGAACCUCAUCGGUUUUACCCGGACAGACGAGCUGGAACUCGGAGGAUUUUAGCUUGGAAGCCCAGCCUGCUCCCUUACCUACAGGUCAAACAUUUACAUACAUGUAAGGAACACGUCUGUCAUGGUAAACGUUUCUGCAACCGUUCUUUUUCUGUGACUGAAUGACUAGAACACAUACCAUUAAAAAGUUCUUUAUUUA